This is a long non-coding RNA of Pseudophryne corroboree (corroboree frog), 433 nucleotides long. RefSeq lists it as uncharacterized. The record is from RefSeq and is a predicted model, not a curated record. NCBI's taxonomy places the organism in Eukaryota, Metazoa, Chordata, Amphibia, Anura, Myobatrachidae. The transcript is spliced from 4 exons.
UCCGCCCCUGCCGGCAUUGGAGGCGGCCGCUGCGGAGGACAGAGAGGGAGAGUGGAUCGCACCCACUACUUCUGCCGGUCUCUACAUCUGUCAAGUCUCCCACCUUGGAUAGGCCCAUUCUCCUCCACUGAAUGAAGGACAAUGAAGACUCUCCCUCCUGAAUAUUGGGAUUUCUCAGACAGGGCAAAUGUAUCGACAUAUAGGGACGUAAUUCUUGCAUGUGACAAGAAUUACCAUAUGAAAGACUGUGGCUUUAGCUGGACCUGUCCCAUUCCGUAUAUAUCUGAGUGAUCACUAUUAGUGUGGAGGUGGCUGGUUGGCUGGCCAUUCCAGGUUUAAUUCAAGAGGCAUAGGAAGAUCCUGUUUGGUCCUUACAUUUUACUUAUUUUUUUAGGUCUAUAUUUUUCUUUUAUUCUUGGAAUAUUUACUUGAA